UAGGGAAUCUUCCACAAUGGACGCAAGUCUGAUGGAGCAACGCCGCGUGAGUGAAGAAGGUUUUCGGACCGUAAAGCUCUGUUGUUGGUGAAGAAGGAUAGAGGUAGUAACUGGCCUUUAUUUGACGGUAAUCAACCAGAAAGUCACGGCUAACUACGUGCCAGCAGCCGCGGUAAUACGUAGGUGGCAAGCGUUGUCCGGAUUUAUUGGGCGUAAAGCGAGCGCAGGCGGAAGAAUAAGUCUGAUGUGAAAGCCCUCGGCUUAACCGAGGAAUUGCAUCGGAAACUGUUUUUCUUGAGUGCAGAAGAGGAGAGUAGAACUCCAUGUGUAGCGGUGGAAUGCGUAGAUAUAUGGAAGAAUACCAGUGGCGAAGGCGGCUCUCUGGUCUGCAACUGACGCUGAGGCUCGAAAGCAUGGGUAGCGAACAGGAUUAGAUACCCUUGGUAGUCCAUGCCGUAAACGAUGAGUGCUAAGUGUUGGGAGGCUUCCGCCUCUCAGUGCCGCAGCUAACGCAUUAAGCACUCCGCCUGGGGGAGUACGACCGCAAGGUUGAAAC
Molecule: ribosomal RNA, 556 nt
Filed under: uncultured bacterium
Lineage: Bacteria
Description: partial 16S ribosomal RNA
Rfam family: Bacterial small subunit ribosomal RNA
Source: RNAcentral